AGACCUGUAUCUUUCUGAAACUCUACUUAAUUUAUUCUUAAGGUCUACAAGUCUCCUCUUUUGCAACCCAGAACUCAUGGCUCAGUAUGAGUUUUUAUACAGAUUAGAAAGAACAAG
Mustela erminea (ermine) is the source of this 117-nucleotide small nucleolar RNA. RefSeq annotates it as small nucleolar RNA SNORA40. Lineage: Eukaryota; Metazoa; Chordata; Mammalia; Carnivora; Mustelidae. The record is from RefSeq and is a predicted model, not a curated record. The transcript has a single exon.